AGUUAUGAGGUGAAGAACCAGGCCAAGCUCUUCUAGGAAGAAAAAUGAAUAGGAAAUGAACGACUUUGCUGGACCACACACAGUGAACCACAGGUUGAAGAGCAAAGGAGCCAACCAAUCAUGGACUAAGACCUCAGCAACUGUUGAUUGUCUCCCUGAUGUGCUACAGUGAUAGCAAACUGACUACGACAGAAUAGUUGGAAGAGUGGAGGCUACACCAUAUUUAUUUGCUGAUGAUGCUUCUUUGGGAUAAGGAUUUGAGUAAAGAAUAAACAGAAGAAAAUUGGCUCUGGGGAAAAAAAUACAAAAUGGAAUUAUCAGGCAAUCCAGAAUUUCACUGAAGGUUAUUGGAUUUUUCACUCUUCUUUAUCACUGAUUGGUGGAAACCUAAGCCUGAAGCAAAACCUGCCGAACAUCUGUUUCUGGAUUUCACCCCCACAUAGUGACAAGAAGACUCAGCAGAUACCACAACAGUGUUCCUGGAGCACUCCAUGCCCUCUCAGCAGGAGGAGUCAGCGAGCACGUCCCGCACAUGGAGGAGAUAAUCAUCAAACUGAUCGGCCGCGUCACAGAGUAGCAUUCAUCCAUUGCCCAGUGAUUUCUUGACCCAUCUCAUAAAGUAAGUAAAUCAAGAUGACCCAUUACACUGUGGGUCAAGGAAAGUCAGCAGCAGUGGAAGAAGUGGUCCUCUGCUUACUAUUUUUUC
Mus caroli (Ryukyu mouse) is the source of this 706-nucleotide long non-coding RNA. RefSeq lists it as uncharacterized. Lineage: Eukaryota; Metazoa; Chordata; Mammalia; Rodentia; Muridae. The record is from RefSeq and is a predicted model, not a curated record.